RNAcentral lists this ribosomal RNA (500 nucleotides) under uncultured bacterium. RNAcentral's name for it is "partial 16S ribosomal RNA". It matches the Rfam family "Bacterial small subunit ribosomal RNA", at positions 30 to 523 of the family's 1533-position model. The record is from RNAcentral.
AUUGAACGCUGGUGGCAGGCCUAACACAUGCAAGUCGAGCGGAUGAAGGGAGCUUGCUCCUGGAUUCAGCGGCGGACGGGUGAGUAAUGCCUAGGAAUCUGCCUGGUAGUGGGGGACAACGUUUCGAAAGGAACGCUAAUACCGCAUACGUCCUACGGGAGAAAGCAGGGGACCUCCGGGCCUUGCGCUAUCAGAUGAGCCUAGGUCGGAUUAGCUAGUUGGUGGGGUGAAGGCUCACCAAGGCGACGAUCCGUAACUGGUCUGAGAGGAUGAUCAGUCACACUGGAACUGAGACACGGUCCAGACUCCUACGGGAGGCAGCAGUGGGGAAUAUUGGACAAUGGGCGAAAGCCUGAUCCAGCCAUGCCGCGUGUGUGAAGAAGGUCUUCGGAUUGUAAAGCACUUUAAGUUGGGAGGAAGGGUUGUAGAUUAAUACUCUGCAAUUUUGACGUUACCGACAGAAUAAGCACCGGCUAACUCUGUGCCAGCAGCCGCCGUAA